CAUGCAAACACGUGUGUUUAUCUGAUUGCUGAGACAGCGCUCAGACUUGGCGUGCUGCCUCUUACAGAUCUCCGAAGAGUUAGCCUCACAGAAACCUCUGGAUGUGGAGAUGGCUGGCUGACAUCAUAGGAUACUCAGAAAUGAACUUGGGGUUAAGACAACAACAUAUUGACAUAAUAUAAAUAUGAAAAUCCAAACAAGAAAUCAAAGUGCCAGGAGUUUUAAAGUUUUAUGAAGGUGUGCGUUCUGGUCAAUGCAAGCAGAACUUGAAACAGGGAUCUUCAAAGUUCAUGGAUUAGCUGUUUUAAAAGCACUGAACACAUUACUUAAAUACCUCCCAAAAUUCGUACAUUGAAGUCCUAACUCCAUCAGUAUGUCAGAAUGUGAACUUUUCUAGAAAUAGGGUUGAUUGAAGAUGUACUUUGUUAAGAAGAGGUCAUACUGGAGUAGGGUGGGCUCUUAACCCAGUAUGACUGGUGUCCUUACAAAAAGGGGAAAUUUGGACACACAUACACACACAGGGAAAGCACUAUUUGAAUACGAAGAUCAUGACUCAACUACAAGCCAAAAAAUGCCAAAGAUGCCAGCAAGCCACCAGCAGCUGGAAGACAGGCCUGGAAGAGAUUCUCAGUCACAGCCCCCAGAAGGAACCAACCUUGCCACCUC
This 666-nucleotide long non-coding RNA is filed under the name Equus caballus (horse). RNAcentral describes it as "lncRNA (ENSECAG00000028429.3)". The record is from RNAcentral. Lineage: Eukaryota; Metazoa; Chordata; Mammalia; Perissodactyla; Equidae.